RNAcentral lists this ribosomal RNA (403 nucleotides) under Verrucomicrobiota bacterium. RNAcentral describes it as "Verrucomicrobia bacterium partial 16S ribosomal RNA". It matches the Rfam family "Bacterial small subunit ribosomal RNA", at positions 355 to 776 of the family's 1533-position model. The record is from RNAcentral. Lineage: Bacteria; Pseudomonadati; Verrucomicrobiota.
UGGGGAAUAUUGCACAAUGGGGGAAACCCUGAUGCAGCGACGCCGCGUGAGCGAAGAAGGUUUUCGAAUCGUAAAGCCCUGUCCUAUGAGAAGAUAAUGACGGUAUCAUAGGAGGAAGCCCCGGCUAAAUACGUGCCAGCAGCCGCGGUAAUACGUAUGGGGCGAGCGUUGUCCGGAAUUAUUGGGCGUAAAGGGUACGUAGGCGGUCUAUUAAGUCAGGUGUGAAAGCGUGAGGCUUAACCUCAUUAAGCACUUGAAACUGGUAGACUUGAGUGAAGGAGAGGAAAGUGGAAUUCCUCGUGUAGCGGUGAAAUGCGUAGAUAUUAGGAGGAAUACCGGUGGCGAAGGCGACUUUCUGGACUUUUACUGACGCUCAGGUACGAAAGCGUGGGGAGCAAACAGG